AGCAGCCGCCACGGUAAUACGAAGGGUGCAAGCGUUAAUCGGAAUUACUGGGCGUAAAGCGUGCGUAGGCGGUUUGUUAAGUCUGCUGUGAAAUCCCCGGGCUCAACCUGGGAAUGGCAAUGGAUACUGGCAAGCUAGAGUGUGUCAGAGGAUGGUGGAAUUCCCGGUGUAGCGGUGAAAUGCGUAGAGAUCGGGAGGAACAUCAGUGGCGAAGGCGGCCAUCUGGGACAACACUGACGCUGAGGCACGAAAGCGUGGGGAGCAAACAGGAUUAGAUACCCCGGUAGUCCCUGUCUCUUAUAC
Molecule: ribosomal RNA, 303 nt
Filed under: uncultured bacterium
Lineage: Bacteria
Description: partial 16S ribosomal RNA
Rfam family: Bacterial small subunit ribosomal RNA
Source: RNAcentral